Molecule: ribosomal RNA, 601 nt
Filed under: Escherichia coli
Lineage: Bacteria; Pseudomonadati; Pseudomonadota; Gammaproteobacteria; Enterobacterales; Enterobacteriaceae
Also listed under: 1 other name
Description: bacterial SSU rRNA
Rfam family: Bacterial small subunit ribosomal RNA
Source: RNAcentral
AAAUUGAAGAGUUUGAUCAUGGCUCAGAUUGAACGCUGGCGGCAGGCCUAACACAUGCAAGUCGAACGGUAACAGGAAGCAGCUUGCUGUUUCGCUGACGAGUGGCGGACGGGUGAGUAAUGUCUGGGAAACUGCCUGAUGGAGGGGGAUAACUACUGGAAACGGUAGCUAAUACCGCAUAACGUCGCAAGACCAAAGAGGGGGACCUUCGGGCCUCUUGCCAUCGGAUGUGCCCAGAUGGGAUUAGCUAGUAGGUGGGGUAACGGCUCACCUAGGCGACGAUCCCUAGCUGGUCUGAGAGGAUGACCAGCCACACUGGAACUGAGACACGGUCCAGACUCCUACGGGAGGCAGCAGUGGGGAAUAUUGCACAAUGGGCGCAAGCCUGAUGCAGCCAUGCCGCGUGUAUGAAGAAGGCCUUCGGGUUGUAAAGUACUUUCAGCGGGGAGGAAGGGAGUAAAGUUAAUACCUUUGCUCAUUGACGUUACCCGCAGAAGAAGCACCGGCUAACUCCGUGCCAGCAGCCGCGGUAAUACGGAGGGUGCAAGCGUUAAUCGGAAUUACUGGGCGUAAAGCGCACGCAGGCGGUUUGUUAAGUCAG